GGUUCGCCAAUAACUCACCUUUCAAUCCCAAAGUGGGGAGGGAGCUCCAAGUGCACCCAAGCCCGGGACCGUCUGCGGACCUCCAUGUGGUCCGGACCUCCAAGUGGUCCUAGUCGCACGACACUCCGGAGUACUCGACGACAAUCCCCUCCAUGUGGGAUUGGAUGGCUAUACCACCCUAAACGCAGACUGUGAGCUAGAUCUAUCCUCUCCAAGUGAGGAUACACUGUAACUAGGGUCAACACCCAAUCCAAUCCUCUCCAAGUGAGUAGGCUCUACAACUAGAGUCAAUAAUCCAAUCGAAUCCUCUCCAAGUGAGAAUGCUCUACAACUGGAGUCAACAACCCAAUCAAAUCCUCUCCAAGUGAGGAUGCUCUACAACUAGAGUCAAUAUCUCAAUAACUCAUCGACAACCUCUCCAUGUGAGGGUACUUAGGUUUACUAAGUUCUUUAUCCACAAGGCAUUUUCUAAGGGAUUCACCUAUCCCUAGGUUCUCAAACCUCUAGUGUCAAAUACACUACAUUAAUGCCACUCGAUAUGUUCUUGUUUUCCAAAGUCAAUUUCUCUAAUCGACCAAGUUCAACAUGCAUAAUUCAUCUACUAUGUUCCAUAAUAUGGCAACAUGCAUAAUUCUUCUAUCAUAUUCAAUAUAUGUCAUCAUGUAUGUGUUUCUAUUUAACAUAAUCCACAUAUCAUCUCAUUGGUAGGUAAUAUCAACUACAUAAUAUGUUUCAAGCAUUCAUAUUAUCAUGUAAGCCUACCAAUACAACUAUAUGCAUCAAUGUGAAUUCGUAUGUUUCUUAGACAUAAAGGGCGACCUAGUCGCUUCGGUAAGCACAACCCACCUCAAAUCGCUUUCCGAUUGCUUGUCGACACUUGGAAUCGGCCUCCCGCGGCGCCCGUAACCCGGUUUGGCCCGAUCUCGCGCGCGACCACCCGAACGGCCUCCAAUUCACGAUCUGAAAAUUAAAGGUCUUCGGUUAUGUGCCACGGUGCUUCAAAUCCGUUUCAUGGGUUUACGAUGUCGCCUCGGCCCUCCAGGCGGAAACGAAGCCUAAACGUCCGUUUCUUUAAUAACUUCGCACCGGCUCGACGAAUCGCCGAACCGUCUUCGCCAACGCGUUCGUUUACCUAGCAAUUAGGUUUACGGAGGGUCAAAUUAGAUCAAACCCUUAUAUUUUACAAAACCCCAUUCGGAGCCCUAAUAUGCAAUUAACCUUAAAAUAAUCCAAAUUAAAUGGAUCAACAUGCUAACAAAGCUCAUUAGAGGCUAUUAGAACACUUAAAGCUAAGGAUUAAGCCAAAUUUCAAAAGCUUACCACAAUGUGAACGCCGCGACGAAAAUAUGCCGCUCCAACGGGCGCACGAAAGCUCGAUCCGUCGCCUCCAACGCAUUCGCAAGCAUCUUCUCCACCAACCCUCCAAUUUUUAGAGAGAGAUUUAGAGAGAUGAGAGAGAUCUCUAGAGAGAGAAGGGAGGGUUUCCCUCCCCCUCCAUGCGUGUGUGUGUGUGUGUGUGUGUGGUGUGUGUGCGGCUGAAGGAGAAGAAGAGGAGUCAACACUCCACUUUAGUCAACACCACAACACUAUUCACUCCCGGGCAGUUCGAAAUCUGAUAUCUUUCGCCGGAACUCCCUGAACAUCCGUUUGAGCUCAAAGUUCACAGUUAUGUUCGGUUUUAUGUACUGAGUAAGAAUAUAUUUUAAGUUUUCAGUUUCGACCCCGUUUGGUCACUGAAAACUAUAUCGAACUGUAAUUUUUAUCAGAUAGCUGUCGGAUUUUAUUUCUCACUCUACGGGUGUCAAAAAAAUAUGAAACUUUAAAUCUAGUCUCAUAAAAAUAUUUCUGACUUAUCCUCCAAUUUUCAUAAUUUUCUGAGACUGUGCAUUUUCUGCCUAUUUAUCUGUCCCGUUUCCAACAGAAAAUUCUAGAUCUUCUAUUUUCAUUUCGAUUUCAGCACAAGUCACUUCUAACUUAUGUUUUACUCCUCUAAAUCCAAUAAAAAUAGUAUCUCACACUAUUUUUAUUUAUUUUUAUUUUUAUAUUUAAAAUUCGGUAUAUUACAUUCCACCGCAACCUCACCGGAAUCAUUCAAAUGGCUUUCAAGCCAAAUGUACACCGUAACUUCCUAAUUUAGAAGUCCGGUACCUUACAUCCUCCCCUCCUUAACAGAGUUUCGUCCUCGAAACUAUCUCACUUCAAUUCCAAUUCAUACCCCAACUCAACUUAUCAAAUAGUUGGGAGUUCCAAUGCACUUUUGCAUCUCGGAGUGGCCUUUCACUCAUCAGAACUAUCCAAAGGUUCACUAUGGAGGAUGUGAGGCCAAUCUCACUCACAUAUGCCAUGUGUAAACCCAAAAGUGCAUUACCACCAUGCAAAGAACUACUCUUGCAUUAUACACCCAAUCGAAAAAUUUCACUCCGAUUCGAUCACCUACAUUGCUUAGAAGCAAUAUCGUUGGUGACUCGACCAAUCGCGAGUGGUUCAUCACAACCGGAUCCUUGCUCUAUCACGAGAUGGCCCACUCCGGCACAUCUCCAAUCUCAAUCCACAAAAGAGCAUUGUCCUCAAGCUCCAAUUCCUACGUGGCUAUCCACAUCUCAAUGUCACACAAGAGCACUUCGCCCUUGAUAUCAUAAGCCACGACCAACUCUGCUUUGCUCUUGCGACAAAUCCAUACGAACCCUCCGUUCGUGAAUCCAAGCCAAACUCACUAAUAGAGUUAUCGGCUAAACCGAUUACGUCGGUUUCCAUCGGUGGACCAACGGUCACCCGUCCUACGUAGGUCUACCGCCUAAACCUCUUACAACUACGCAUAGCGUCCCUCGCUCACCAGCGUAGACCCAAUCAUAAUCGGGCGAGAUUCUCAUUGGAGAAUUCGCACACACUCCAACCAGGAGCAACCGUGACCCCAAACCACCUCAAAUCCUCGGGUUGGGUCACUACACACUCGGUGUAUCCUCGAUCUCAUGAUCCAACACGUGGCAUUCCACGCUCCCGGGUCUAAGCUCGGACUUCCGUCCUGACCGAAUCUCUGCCCUACCCGUAGGUACCAGGCCGCUGUCUCUCACAGCUGAUUGCGCCUGCCCAAAGGGCCCAGGCUCCACAGUCCACAAAUGGUCCAGGCAUGGGUUGUCCCCAAGCACUACCAGCCGUCGUCGUACCACACGACAUACUCUAUCGAGCUAUAAAUACACUAUCGGCUCCUAAGCACCUAGUGCGAGCCACCAGCCCUACGAGUGAUCCAUGGCCCGCUUCACACUUAGCAAUGCUGAGUGCUACUGCCAACUCACUCUCCCGGCUGAAUCGAAACCGCACUCUACGAGUACCCACACUCGAGCACUCUAUAUGCCUCUAUAGCGUUCUACACGAAGUCCAGCAUUAGGCAAUCUUGCCUAUGCACACCAGUCGCACGAGCGCAACCACCUACCUCACCUUGAGGUACUAUUAGGCCCACGUGCUCAAACUUGGCCACUAAUCGACCGUUCUCUCAACAGUGAUGCUACUUUCACUGUUCGAUAUAUCGGAAUGACAUCCGAAAUUUUCGAACUACUUGGGUGUUCUCAUAAGCAUCAUGGCUCAACUCUCGCAAUUUACUACUCAUAUUGCUCUGAGAGUCGUUUCGCCACUUCUAUCUCUACCGCGAGUCUCACUUCUCGCCAUAGAUUACCUCUAGCACUUCGCUAGUGCCAUCUGGCUCUAUACCUGUACUGGCAGGUACUACGCCCUCAGAUAACACAAAACUCCAUUUCUAGAGCAAUCAAACCUAUCUCUAGAAAUCCACCAUGAGAGAGAGCUUAGAAGCUUACCUCUCCAAGAAGCUCCAACCAAGGAGAAGAUGAAGAAGAUAAGGAAGACCUCCUUCUCCUUCUCUUUCUUUCCUUUCCUUCCUUCUUCCUCUUCUUGUCUUCUAGAGAGAGAAAGAGAGAUAUGAGAGGGUGUGUGGGUGAGAAAUGAGAUAAAAGAGCUCUCAUACUCCUCACAUAGCCUCACGUGUUGCAUAAAUGCAAAUAAGCCCCUCGACUUUCAUCCUUGUGCACAGCCCUCACUCGGCAUUUUGCGCCCAGAGGGACCGGUCCCUCGUCGGGGAGACCGGUCCCCGAGAGCCCUCUCCGCGGCCUGGGGACCUUUCGCGUACGGGAACCGGUCCCCACCCGAGAGACCGGUCCCUGGGAGACCGGUCCUUCCUGAGAGACCGGUCCCCGAGAGCCGAAUUUUCAGGACUUAGCCUUUCUUUGCCCUUCUCUCGCUGGUGUCGCAUACGGGGACCGGUCCCCUCAACCAGGGACCGGUUGCAUCAACCUCCCCCGCAACCAUCAGCUACGGGGACCGGUCCUCCCUUCCAGGGACCGGUCCCCGAGAGCAAAAUCUGCUAAGUCCAGAUUCUUGCAUAUUUGCUCUCGUGGACACGUUUCCAAUGCACUUUUUGUGUUUUGGACAUCUUUAGCUUUUCCGAAGGAUACUCACUCGACAAAGAGUCGAUCCUGAACGAAGCACAACUCUUGAAUUUCGAGAAUUCACUUCCUUACAUGCACAACCUCGACCACGUCUGGCUAAGGUCUCCGCUGAGGCAUUACCCUACCACUCACACGAGAGUGGCCAAUCACUCGCGAAGUCCCAAGUCUCCGCUCGUUUCGGAUUGCUUAGGGACGCCACUCGUCCCAUCCCACGCCGAUCUAGAUUAAGAUCGCCUACGCGGUGCUAUCGCUUCCUAAGACACGACAACUCGGUCGAUUCUCGACCCUCAAUGUCUAGCGCGAAACAACUGACACCGACUCGAAUCGGGCGAAAGUCAUGCAAGGGUGUCUAUUCUCAUCACUCGGUUUCAUGUUGUGUAUACCCAACAUGAACACCCUCGGUUGAAAAUAAACCACACCUCGAGUCUACCUCUAACAUCCGUUUUAGAGGUUUACUAACCUGACCCAAUUGAUCAAUCUUUCGCCAUAAGUCACAAGUCCUCGUAUCUCACGAGCCUUAUUCUCCUAUGGUUUACUGUCCUAGGGUCUCCUAGGUCCAUCUAAACAAUUGCCCAUUCUCUACUUUCUGCUCUGAUACCACUAUUAUCUGUCACGACCCGCGACCACCUGCCUAUUUGGCCGGGUCGCGGCGCCGCCGACAGACCGCCGAACGGACAGAGUCUCCCCUGUACGUCCUAGGCGUCGCAAUCAAUUCCAAUACAAGAAGUUCCAACCAGGAACAGUAUUCAAGCAAGAUUGCAUAAGAAAGGUAUCAAACAACAUAACACAUCCUAUGUUAUUACAAGCAUUCCUAUUAGAUUCAUUUUUACAUCACAUUUGCAUUAUUACAUUACAUUUUCUUCCAAAUACAAUCAAUGAUCGCAAUAUUAUUACAAGUUUGCUCUUUUUCUUUUCCCUCUACCCCUAGGCUAUGCCGACUCGGGGUACCUCUAUCUCUGGUCUCUCGGGUAGGGCGCUAUCUAUGGAGCUACGCCCUCGCCUCGCGCCGCCGCGCCGCUCACGUGUGAACCUGUAACACCCCAAAACAACGUGGGGUGAGAACCAACUCCAUGGUUCCCAGUGGGUACGGCCACCCAAGGGAAAAGCUCGACCAAUAGGUCUAAGGAGGCCCUGCAACAUGUUAGUCCAACAGAUAUCCAACAGAUAUAUAUAUUCAAGUAUUGAAAUACAUGUUGUGCCUCACAAAAUGCAAUAUGAAAUUCAUGCAGUUUAUGCAACCAUGCAACCAACUAGUAGUUCAAUCGAUACUACUUUCAUUCCUGUUAUUCACAGUUCAACCAAUUGACUUCUAAGUUUUCCUCAAUCUUAGAUUCUUGUCAAUUACAAUUCUGCUCAUAGGGUUUAACCUGCUUUUAUAAGCUAUCCACUCGACUCGGUCUUGAGUCAAUCACACGCGGAAUACCGCACAAAGUAGGGCUCAAGGGGAAGGAUGUCUCACAUGCACCUCAGCCCUAAAUCCACUCAACUGGGAUGCAACUAAAACUCAUACCAUGCAUCAAAUAGUAAAGGUUUACUAUCAUGCUAACAAAUUCGAUCCAUGUUCAAAUAAUAAUGUUCAAUGACACUGUUCACUGUUCUUUUACCCAAUCUGUAGCGAAGCCCUAGGGUUCGUCAAUAACUCAUCUUUCAAUCCCAAAGGGGGGAGGGAGCUCCAAGUGCACCCAAGCCCGGGACUGUCUGCGGACCUCCAUGUGGUCCGGACCUCCAAGUGGUCCUAGUCGCGCGACACUCCGGAGUACUCGACGACAAUUCCCUCCAUGUGGGGAUUGGAUGGCUAUACCACCCUAAACGCAGACUGUGAGCUAGAUCUAUCCUCUCCAAGUGAGGAUACACUGUAACUAGGGUCAACACCCAAUCCAAUCCUCUCCAAGUGAGGAGGCUCUACAACUAGAGUCAAUAACCCAAUCGAAUCCUCUCCAAGUGAGGAUGCUCUACAACUGGAGUCAACAACCCAAUCAAAUCCUCUCCAAGUGAGGAUGCUCUACAACUAGAGUCAAUAUCUCAAUAACUCAUCGACAACCUCUCCAUGUGAGGGUACUUAGGUUUACUAAGUUCUUUAUCCACAAGGCACUUUCUAAAGGUUCACCUAUCCCUAGGUUCCCAAACCUCUAGUGUCAAAUACACUACAUUAAUGCCACUCGAUAUGUUCUUGUUUUCCAAAGUCAAUUUCUCUAAUCGACCAAGUUCAACAUGCAUAAUUCAUCUACUAUGUUCCAUAAUAUGGCAACAUGCAUAAUU
RNAcentral lists this long non-coding RNA (6716 nucleotides) under Ananas comosus (pineapple). RNAcentral describes it as "long non-coding RNA (ACOM_LNC042097)". Lineage: Eukaryota; Viridiplantae; Streptophyta; Magnoliopsida; Poales; Bromeliaceae. The record is from RNAcentral.